GGGUUUGAUCCUGGCUCAGAACGAACGUUGGCGGCGUGGAUUAGGCAUGCAAGUCGAACGCGAAAGUUUCCUUCGGGGAGCGAGUAGAGUGGCGAACGGGUGAGUAAUGCGUAGAUGACCUACCCAGAUGAUCGGGACAACCACUCGAAAGGGUGGCUAAUACCGGAUGUGGUCGGAUUCCUGCGGGUUUCCUACGAAAGAUGGCCUCUGACUCAAGCUGUCGCAUUUGGAGGGGUUUACGUGCUAUUAGCUUGUUGGUGGGGUAACGGCCUACCAAGGCGAUGAUGGCUAGCCGGCCUGAGAGGGUGUCCGGCCACACUGGGACUGAGACACUGCCCAGACUCCUACGGGAGGCUGCAGUCGAGAAUCUGCCGCGUGUGCGAUGAAGGCUUUCGGGUUGUAAAGCACUGUUGGAAGGGCGUAAUUGCCAUCGGUUAAUACCCGUGUGGUUUGAACUCCCUUCGGAGGAAGCACCGGCUAAAUUCGUGCCAGCAGCCGCGGUAAUACGAAUGGUGCAAACGUUGUUCGGAAUCACUGGGCAUAAAGAGCACGUAGGCGGUCCAGUCAGUCAGCUGUGAAAUCCCUCGGCUCAACCGAGGAACUGCAGCUGAUACUGCUGGACUAGAGUACGGGAGGGGAGAGCGGAAUUCCUGGUGGAGCGGUGAUAUGCGUAGAUAUCAGGAGGAACGCCGGAGGCGAAAGCGGCUCUCUGGUCCGUUACUGACGCUGAGGUGCGAAAGCUAGGGGAGCAAACAGGAUUAGAUACCCUGGUAGUCCUAGCUGUAAACGAUGGGCACUAAGUAGGGGGACUCCCAAGGUCUCCCUGCCGGAGCUAAUGUGUUAAGUGCCCCGCCUGGGAAGUACGGUCGCAAGGCUGAAACUCAAAGGAAUUGACGGGGGCUCACACAAGCGGUGGAGCAUGUUGUUUAAUUCGACGCAACGCGAAGAACCUUACCUGGGCUUGACAUUCAAGUGGUACCAAACCGAAAGGGGCGGGACCGUCUUUUGGCGGAGCUUGAACAGGUAUUGCAUGGCUGUCGUCAGCUCGUGUCGUGAGAUGUUGGGUUAAGUCCCGUAACGAGCGCAACCCUUGUCCUUAGUUGCCAGCGGAUCAUGCCGGGGACUCUAGGGAGACUGCCGGUGUUAAACCGGAGGAAGGCGGGGAUGACGUCAAGUCAUCAUGGUCCUUACGCCCAGGGCUACAAACGUGCUACAAUGGUCGGUACAAAGAGACGCUAGACCGCGAGGUCACGCAAAUCUCAAAAAGCCGGCCCCAGUUCGGAUUGGAGGCUGCAAUUCGCCUCCAUGAAGUCGGAAUCGCUAGUAAUCGCAGAUCAGCUACGCUGCGGUGAAUAUGUUCCUGAGCCUUGUACACACCGCCCGUCAAGCCACCCAAAUAGGCAGCACCCGAAGUCGCAGACCCAACCUUAGGGAGGGAUGCGCCGAAGGUGAGGUUUGUGAGGGGGACUAAGUCGUAACAAGGUAGCCGUAGGGGAACCUGCGGCUG
RNAcentral lists this ribosomal RNA (1507 nucleotides) under hydrothermal vent metagenome. RNAcentral describes it as "bacterial SSU rRNA". It matches the Rfam family "Bacterial small subunit ribosomal RNA". The record is from RNAcentral.